Molecule: ribosomal RNA, 466 nt
Filed under: uncultured bacterium
Lineage: Bacteria
Description: partial 16S ribosomal RNA
Rfam family: Bacterial small subunit ribosomal RNA
Source: RNAcentral
UGAACGCUGGCGGCGUGCUUAACACAUGCAAGUCGAACGGUGAAGGCGGAGCUUGCUCUGCUGGAUCAGUGGCGAACGGGUGAGUAACACGUGAGCAAUCUGCCCCUGACUCUGGGAUAAGCGCUGGAAACGGCGUCUAAUACUGGAUACGAGCUGCGAAGGCAUCUUCAGCAGCUGGAAAGAACUUCGGUCAGGGAUGAGCUCGCGGCCUAUCAGCUUGUUGGUGAGGUAACGGCUCACCAAGGCGUCGACGGGUAGCCGGCCUGAGAGGGUGACCGGCCACACUGGGACUGAGACACGGCCCAGACUCCUACGGGAGGCAGCAGUGGGGAAUAUUGCACAAUGGGCGAAAGCCUGAUGCAGCAACGCCGCGUGAGGGACGACGGCCUUCGGGUUGUAAACCUCUUUUGGCAGGGAAGAAGCGAAAGUGACGGUACCUGCAGAAAAAGCGCCGGCUAACUACGUG